CCUACGGGAGGCAGCAGUGAGGAAUAUUGGUCAAUGGACGAGAGGCUGAACCAGCCAAGUAGCGUGAAGGAUGACUGCCCUAUGGGUUGUAAACUUCUUUUAUAUGGGAAUAAAAUGUUCCACGUGUGGGAUUUUGUAUGUACCAUAUGAAUAAGGAACGGCUAACUCCGUGCCAGCAGCCGCGGUAAUACGGAGGAUACGAGCGUUAUCCGGAUUUAUUGGGUUUAAAGGGAGAGUAGGUGGAUUGUUAAGUCAGUUGUGAAAGUUUGCGGCUCAACCGUAAAAUUGCAGUUGAAACUGGCAGUCUUGAGUGCAGUAGAGGUGGGCGGAAUUCGUGGUGUAGCGGUGAAAUGCUUAGAUAUCACGAAGAACUCCGAUUGCGAAGGCAGCUCACUGGACUGCAACUGACACUGAGGCUCGAAAGUGUGGGUAUCAAACAGGAUUAGAUACCCGAGUAGUC
Molecule: ribosomal RNA, 460 nt
Filed under: uncultured bacterium
Lineage: Bacteria
Description: partial 16S ribosomal RNA
Rfam family: Bacterial small subunit ribosomal RNA
Source: RNAcentral